Molecule: long non-coding RNA, 907 nt
Organism: Octopus bimaculoides (California two-spot octopus)
Lineage: Eukaryota; Metazoa; Mollusca; Cephalopoda; Octopoda; Octopodidae
Source: RefSeq, a predicted model, not a curated record
ACAAGGGAGACAAGUGUUAUACUGUUUCAUGAUUUCUGCUUAGGUUUAGAUAUUAAUUAAACAGACAAAUGUUGAUAUCCUGUUCUAAUCUAUUCGCUAAAAGGAUUUUAUUUGUAAAAUCCUUUUAGUGAAUUUGAGAAAAACUACCGAAAGUACUCUUUGACUUGCCGUAAAGUUAGACAUUUCAUUUCUAUUUCCUUAUAUUUUAUUUAUUUAGCAUACCAGGUAGGUUUUCGGGACUUACACCAGGACAGAGGAUAGGAAUUAGCAGAGUUAUUGAGAGCGAGAUAUAUAAACUAACGACUCUUUAAAUCGAGCAUCAACAUUUUAUUUAACGAUGCCAUUGUCAUUCUUCACUAAAAGUUUUGUUUCUAAGAAUACAGCGAAGGCUGACAAUGGGGUAAGGUCAUCUCGACGGAAAAGGCGCUUAAUCUCCAGAUCUCAGAUCAUUAAAAUGGUAUGUCAAGUGUAGCAAACUCAUAAGAGGCUGAGAGAGAACAUAGGUUCGUUUGCCCGAACAGGAGAAAUUGUUGAUUUCUCAUUGGUUAAAAAUCACUGCCCAUAUACGAAUUCUAAACUUUCGUUAAAAAAAUCUUUCACGAAGUACGGUUCUUAGAAUUCGUGUAUGAGCAGUUAUAAAAACCCUGAUUUUUGGGGAAUUAUUCAGUGAUCGUUGAUUGUCACUCAAAUCCACGAUACCCACUCUCCAGUGAUCGUUGGUUUUCACUCAAAUCCACGACACUCACUCUUUUGAGUAUUGGCUAAUCUUUAUGUCAUGUUUAUUACUCAAAUCCAACAAGAUUGAAUUGUUGUGAACGUUAGUACAGAUUUUAAGUUAUAAUAAUUACGACAAAAUGUUAACUUUCCAUUAAUACUUAUAUACGUAAAUAAACUAAUGUAGAAAUUA